RNAcentral lists this ribosomal RNA (253 nucleotides) under uncultured bacterium. RNAcentral's name for it is "partial 16S ribosomal RNA". It matches the Rfam family "Bacterial small subunit ribosomal RNA", at positions 524 to 776 of the family's 1533-position model. The record is from RNAcentral.
UACAGAGGUGGCAAGCGUUGUUCGGAAUUACUGGGCGUAAAGGGCGCGUAGGCGGUCAGGUCAGUCCCGUGUGAAAUCCCUCGGCUCAACCGUGGAACUGCAUUCGAUACUGUCGGGCUAGAGGCAGGUAGGGGAGAUCGGAAUUCCUGGUGUAGCGGUGAAAUGCGCAGAUAUCAGGAGGAACACCGGUGGCGAAGGCGGAUCUCUGGGCCUGUCCUGACGCUCAGGCGCGAAAGCUAGGGGAGCGAACAGG